Molecule: unclassified non-coding RNA, 205 nt
Filed under: Hevea brasiliensis (rubber tree)
Lineage: Eukaryota; Viridiplantae; Streptophyta; Magnoliopsida; Malpighiales; Euphorbiaceae
Source: RNAcentral
GUUUGACACAGAGCUUGUUGGAAGUUCAUUCAAGUUUUUCUCUGAGGCCUGCAUCAAGGCAACAUGGAUAUCUCCCAAUGAUUUUGCUUCAACGACUUCCAAAUCUGAACUUGUUUCACCUUUGGCUUCUUCUUUAAUCUGGCUUUCGAUUGCACUGGGAAGGAUGACAUCCUCCACAUCUACUCCUUCAUGGAGUUGCUGAAAA